GGCUUCUUGAAGUUGGAAGAAUAGUGGUAAUACAUGAAUUGAUACGAAGUGAAAUAAGCAAAACCCAGAGAACAUUAUUGUGGAAGUUUAAUUGUGUCUAACUCUUUAUGAUCCUUUUUGGAGUUUUCAUGACAUACCCAUCAAAACUGACUAUAUUCUUACAGGGGAAAGUAUGGUCAUUUAACACAACAGAAGAGUUCCAAGCAUUCAUAAAUAAAAGACCAGACCUGAACAGAAAAUUUGAUGUCCAACCACAAAACUCAAGAGAAUCAUCAAAAGUCAUCAAUGACAAGAAAGAUGAUUUGGAAUGACUAGCAACGGCCCAGGAUACAAUGGAUGACCUUGGAGCUCUAUAGCACCUGUUUCAGCAACCUUUGUGGAUGUUUCAACAAAUUAUUUUCACCCUUCCAUUCCAUUGGGGGAUGUUUUCCCAUGCUUUGGAUAAACAUUGCUACAAUCACCAACAGGUUUAGCCCAUGGGUGUGCAUGCUAAACCUUCUUGGGGCCACAGUUUAACAUUUUGGACACUGAGAUUGGAAGUUGUAGCUGCCUGAGUCACCAGCUAAAGGACUCCAGAUGUGAAGUACCUACAGAACCCACUUAGGGUCAAGUCAGGAGGUCAGUUAGCAGUGUGGCUAGGUAAUCUGAAACUUUCAGAAAAAGGACUUGAUCUCAUGUAUUUAGGAACGUGACCCACUCUUUAAUCAGGAGGUAAAAAGAGCAUCAUAGUUAUACAGAGGGGACUACCAGACCC
This 754-nucleotide long non-coding RNA is filed under the name Monodelphis domestica (gray short-tailed opossum). Its description in RNAcentral is "lncRNA (ENSMODG00000040777.1)". The record is from RNAcentral. Lineage: Eukaryota; Metazoa; Chordata; Mammalia; Didelphimorphia; Didelphidae.